ACCUGACUGCUAUCGGAUUGAUACUAAGCCAUGUGAGUCAUUGUAGCAAUACAAGGCAUACGGCUCAGUAACGCGUAGUCAACCUAACCUAUGGACGGGAAUAACCUCGGGAAACUGAGAAUAAUGCCCGAUAGAACACUAUACCUGGAAUGGUUUGUGUUCCAAAUGAUUUAUCGCCAUAGGAUGGGACUGCGGCCUAUCAGUUUGUUGGUGAGGUAAUGGCCCACCAAGACUAUUACAGGUACGGGCUCUGAGAGGAGUAGCCCGGAGAUGGGUACUGAGACACGGACCCAGGCCCUAUGGGGCGCAGCAGGCGAGAAAACUUUGCAAUGUGCGAAAGCACGACAAGGUUGAUCCGAGUGAUUUGUGCUAAACGAAUCUUUUGUUAGUCCUAGAAACACUAACGAAUAAGGGGUGGGCAAGUUCUGGUGUCAGCCGCCGCGGUAAAACCAGCACCUCAAGUGGUCAGGAUGAUUAUUGGGCCUAAAGCAUCCGUAGCCGGCUCUGUAAGUUUUCGGUUAAAUCUGUACGCUUAACGUACAGGCUGCCGGGAAUACUGCAAAGCUAGGGAGUGGGAGAGGUAGACGGUACUCGGUAGGAAGUGGUAAAAUGCUUUGAUCUAUCGAUGACCACCUGUGGCGAAGGCGGUCUACCAGAACACGUCCGACGGUGAGGGAUGAAAGCUGGGGGAGCAAACCGGAUUAGAUACCCGGGUAGUCCCAGCUGUAAACUAUGCAAACUCAGUGAUGCAUUGGCUUGUGGCCAAUGCAGUGCUGCAGGGAAGCCGUUAAGUUUGCCGCCUGGGAAGUACGUACGCAAGUAUGAAACUUAAAGGAAUUGGCGGGGGAGCACCACAAGGGGUGAAGCCUGCGGUUC
This 876-nucleotide ribosomal RNA is filed under the name uncultured crenarchaeote. Its description in RNAcentral is "bacterial SSU rRNA". It matches the Rfam family "Archaeal small subunit ribosomal RNA", at positions 21 to 903 of the family's 1478-position model. Lineage: Archaea; Thermoproteati; Thermoproteota. The record is from RNAcentral.